AAAAGCCUAGAAGAGGACCAGUCUGUAAGGGGCCUGCAUGGGUUCAGAAGAUUAUGGUAUAGCAACGGCAUAAGCAGCACAACCAAUGCUCAAGCCUGUCGUAGGGGAUGGGGUAAGGAGAAGGUAUCUACCCUCCCCAGAAAGGGCCUCCCUGUUAGGGAAGAAGAACAGCGGAGGGAUCACAUACACAGAUAAUCCAAAUGAGGAAAUGGAAGCCCUAAGUGAAGCCACUUGGCCAAGGUGAAACCACCCAGUGAGAAAGUGGCAGAGCUGGGAUGGAACCCAGUCAGGGAGCUAUGCCGGUGGUCUACAGCCAAGCCCUGGAGUAAGGUGGUAUGCAAGGGAAAAAAGGAAGGACUACACAGCCUUGGGCCAAGCCUGUAGCACUCACCCAAUC
Molecule: long non-coding RNA, 397 nt
Organism: Loxodonta africana (African savanna elephant)
Lineage: Eukaryota; Metazoa; Chordata; Mammalia; Proboscidea; Elephantidae
Exons: 3
Source: RefSeq, a predicted model, not a curated record